GGUUACUGCUAUCGGUGUUCGCUUAAGCCAUGCGAGUCAUAUGUUCUUCGGAACAUGGCGUACUGCUCAGUAACACGUGGAUAACCUGCCCUUGGGUCCGGCAUAACCCCGGGAAACUGGGGAUAAUUCCGGAUAACGCAUAUAUGCUGGAAUGCUUUCUGCGUAAAAUGGAUUCGUCUGCCCAAGGAUGGGUCUGCGGCCUAUCAGGUAGUAGUGGGUGUAAUGUACCUACUAGCCUACGACGGGUACGGGUUGUGAGAGCAAGAGCCCGGAGAUGGAUUCUGAGACAUGAAUCCAGGCCCUUCGGGGCGCAGCAGGCGCGAAAACUUUACAAUGCGGGAAACCGUGAUAAGGGGACACCGAGUGCCAGCAUCCUAUGCUGGCUGUCCGGGUGUGUAAAAUACACCUGUCAGCAAGGGCCGGGCAAGACCGGUGCCAGCCGCCGCGGUAACACCGGCGGCCCGAGUGGUGAUCGUGAUUAUUGGGUCUAAAGGGUCCGUAGCCGGUUUGGUCAGUCCUCCGGGAAAUCUGACAGCUCAACUGUUAGGCUUUCGGAGGAUACUGCCAGACUUGGAACCGGGAGAGGUAAGAGGUACUACAGGGGUAGGAGUGAAAUCUUGUAAUCCCUGUGGGACCACCUGUGGCGAAGGCGUCUUACCAGAACGGGUUCGACGGUGAGGGACGAAAGCUGGGGGCACGAACCGGAUUAGAUACCCGGGUAGUCCCAGCCGUAAACGAUGCUCGCUAGGUGUCAGGCAUGGCGCGACCGUGUCUGGUGCCGCAGGGAAGCCGUGAAGCGAGCCACCUGGGAAGUACGGCCGCAAGGCUGAAACUUAA
This 837-nucleotide ribosomal RNA is filed under the name uncultured archaeon. RNAcentral's name for it is "bacterial SSU rRNA". It matches the Rfam family "Archaeal small subunit ribosomal RNA", at positions 21 to 859 of the family's 1478-position model. The record is from RNAcentral.